UACGUAGGGCGCAAGCGUUGUCCGGAAUUAUUGGGCGUAAAGAGCUCGUAGGCGGUUUGUCGCGUCUGCUGUGAAAACCUAAGGCUCAACCUUGGGCUUGCAGUGGGUACGGGCAGACUAGAGUGCGGUAGGGGUGACUGGAAUUCCUGGUGUAGCGGUGGAAUGCGCAGAUAUCAGGAGGAACACCAAUAGCGAAGGCAGCUCGCUGGGACGUUACUGACACUGAGGCGCGGAAAGCGUGGGGAGCGAACAGG
Molecule: ribosomal RNA, 254 nt
Filed under: uncultured bacterium
Lineage: Bacteria
Description: partial 16S ribosomal RNA
Rfam family: Bacterial small subunit ribosomal RNA
Source: RNAcentral